UGCCAGCCGCCGCGGUAAUACGGAGGGUGCAAGCGUUGCUCGGAUUUACUGGGCGUAAAGAGCACGUAGGCGGCUCGGUAAGUCUGAUGUGAAAGCCCACGACUCAAUCGUGGAAGUGCAUUGGAUACUGCCAAGCUAGAAUGCAGGAGGGGUGAGCGGAAUUCCAGGUGUAGAGGUGAAAUUCGUAGAUAUCUGGAGGAACAACGGUGGCGAAGGCGGCUCACUGGACUGAUAUUGACGCUGAGGUGCGAAAGUGUGGGGAGCGAACGGGAUUAGAUA
This 279-nucleotide ribosomal RNA is filed under the name uncultured bacterium. RNAcentral describes it as "partial 16S ribosomal RNA". It matches the Rfam family "Bacterial small subunit ribosomal RNA", at positions 506 to 784 of the family's 1533-position model. The record is from RNAcentral.